Molecule: long non-coding RNA, 746 nt
Filed under: Equus caballus (horse)
Lineage: Eukaryota; Metazoa; Chordata; Mammalia; Perissodactyla; Equidae
Description: lncRNA (ENSECAG00000055026.1)
Source: RNAcentral
CCUCACCAGAAGCCAGUUGACCGGCACCUUGUUCUUGGACUUCCCAGCCUCCAGAACUAUCUAGAGACAGAAUCCAUGUGAAUGGAAAUGAUAAGUGCUACCUCCACAUCAGGCCCUUGGAAGCCUCCAUGUGCCUGUCACCAGCUUUUCCAUUUCCAGAUGACUGGGAUGGAUUCUGCCCUCAGAGAAACCUUCAAAGGCAAGUGUGGAAGAUGUUAGCACCUCCGCCAGCCUGGGUUCCUGGAUUCUAACAGAAAUAAAAGUCCCCCCAUUCCCUAACCCCAGGACAUGAACCAAAAAUAACCGUGCUGUUUUUGAGCCAUUAUAUAUUUGGGGUCUGUUUGUUACCCUAACUUACCUUAACUAACCAUAUUCCUGAACCUGGUAGUAUUCACCAAACCUUAGAGCUGCCAUCUUGUUAUUAAAAAAAAGAAAAGAAAUCUGUUCUUGUUUGGACACAUUCACCCAUCAAGAAAAGCCAUCUCUCUAGCCUCCCUUUCUAUAUAAUAAAUGAACAACACAUAAAUAUUUAUACAUUCAAAUAUUCCAUAGAGCCAUUAUUUCAAUACAGAUAAAUUAAUACCGCAAAAAAUAUAGAGAGUUUCAGAGAUGAAGACAGACUUUCUCUCCUUUUUGUCUCAUACUCUUAGAAUAAACUAGAAAACUCUGUGUCAUUACUUCUUACACAAGUGAAUGGACAUGUGUGUGAAAUAUGAUACAUAACAUUUUUAAAAAGCAAACACAGC